UACGGGGGGGGCAAGCGUUGUUCGGAAUUACUGGGCGUAAAGGGCUCGUAGGCGGCCAACUAAGUCGGAUGUGAAAUCCCCAGGCUUAACCUGGGAACUGCAUCCGAUACUGGAUGGCUUGAAUCCGGGAGAGGGAUGCGGAAUUCCAGGUGUAGCGGUGAAAUGCGUAGAUAUCGAGAGGAACACCUGCGGCGAAGGCGGGUUGCUGGGCUGACACUGACGCUGAUGCGCGAAAGCCAGGGGAGCGAACGGG
Molecule: ribosomal RNA, 253 nt
Filed under: uncultured bacterium
Lineage: Bacteria
Description: partial 16S ribosomal RNA
Rfam family: Bacterial small subunit ribosomal RNA
Source: RNAcentral